UCCUUCUUUUUCCCUCUUUUUCCUUAAUUAUUGGGCGUAAAGAGCUCGUAGGCGGUCUGUCGCGUCGGCUGUGAAAACCCAGGGCUCAACCCUGGGCCUGCAGUCGAUACGGGCAGACUAGAGUGCGGUAGGGGAGACUGGAAUUCCUGGUGUAGCGGUGAAAUGCGCAGAUAUCAGGAGGAACACCGGUGGCGAAGGCGGGUCUCUGGGCCGUAACUGACGCUGAGGAGCGAAAGCGUGGGGAGCGAACAGG
RNAcentral lists this ribosomal RNA (253 nucleotides) under uncultured bacterium. RNAcentral describes it as "partial 16S ribosomal RNA". It matches the Rfam family "Bacterial small subunit ribosomal RNA", at positions 549 to 776 of the family's 1533-position model. The record is from RNAcentral.